UACGGAGGGGGCUAGCGUUGUUCGGAAUUACUGGGCGUAAAGCGCAGGUAGGCGGCUUUGCAAGUCAGAGGUGAAAGCCCGGGGCUCAACCCCGGAAUUGCCUUUGAGACUGCAUCGCUAGAAUUGUGGAGAGGUAAGUGGAAUUCCGAGUGUAGAGGUGAAAUUCGUAGAUAUUCGGAAGAACACCAGUGGCGAAGGCGACUUACUGGACACAUAUUGACGCUGAGGUGCGAAAGCGUGGGGAGCAAACAGG
Molecule: ribosomal RNA, 253 nt
Filed under: uncultured bacterium
Lineage: Bacteria
Description: partial 16S ribosomal RNA
Rfam family: Bacterial small subunit ribosomal RNA
Source: RNAcentral